RNAcentral lists this ribosomal RNA (558 nucleotides) under uncultured Actinomycetes bacterium. Its description in RNAcentral is "bacterial SSU rRNA". It matches the Rfam family "Bacterial small subunit ribosomal RNA", at positions 348 to 916 of the family's 1533-position model. Lineage: Bacteria; Bacillati; Actinomycetota; Actinomycetes. The record is from RNAcentral.
GCAGCAGUGGGGAAUAUUGGACAAUGGGCGAAAGCCUGAUCCAGCAACGCCGCGUGAGGGAUGACGGCCUUCGGGUUGUAAACCUCUUUCAGCAGGGACGAAGCGAAAGUGACGGUACCUGCAAAAGAAGCACCGGCCAACUACGUGCCAGCAGCCGCGGUAAUACGUAGGGUGCGAGCGUUGUCCGGAAUUAUUGGGCGUAAAGGGCUCGUAGGCGGUUUGUCACGUCGGGAGUGAAAACUCGGGGCUCAACCCCGAGCUUGCUUCCGAUACGGGCUAACUAGAGGUAUGCAGGGGAGAACGGAAUUCCUGGUGUAGCGGUGAAAUGCGCAGAUAUCAGGAGGAACACCGGUGGCGAAGGCGGUUCUCUGGGCAUUACCUGACGCUGAGGAGCGAAAGUGUGGGGAGCGAACAGGAUUAGAUACCCUGGUAGUCCACACCGUAAACGUUGGGCGCUAGGUGUGGGACUCAUUCCACGAGUUCCGUGCCGCAGCUAACGCAUUAAGCGCCCCGCCUGGGGAGUACGGCCGCAAGGCUAAAACUCAAAGGAAUUGACGG